Lutra lutra (Eurasian river otter) is the source of this 1313-nucleotide long non-coding RNA. RefSeq lists it as uncharacterized. The record is from RefSeq and is a predicted model, not a curated record. NCBI's taxonomy places the organism in Eukaryota, Metazoa, Chordata, Mammalia, Carnivora, Mustelidae. The transcript is spliced from 2 exons.
GAGACAGGAGGAAGCAGGCUCCCUGCUGAGCAGAGAGCCCGAUGCGGGACUCAAUCCCAGGACUCCGAGAUCAUGACCUGAGCCGAAGGCAGUGGCUUAACCCACUGAGCCACCCAGGCGCCCGGGGGAGGUAUUUUCAACUCCUAGCCUUGUAUAACCUAUCCAGGGAGCAAACGCAGCAGCUUUCUGUCAACUACCCUGUCCAACGCACUGUCUCCAAGAAGGAAUUCUGCCAGGUAUCUGCACUUCCAACACCAAUAAUGCUUGCUUCCCGGGCCCAGAAGUCUUUCCAGAAGUCAUCUGACCCGUUGGUGGGCUAGGGCCCCCGGGGAAGACUCACCGGGAGAGGAGCGAGGUCAUCAAAAUGAACCGAUGAUGCUCAGAAGUAAAGCCCGAGGUGCCAGGAGCCCUGCCGCCUGGGGCCACUCUGAAUGAACUCGAGGCCACGCUCAGGCUGCCUGGGCUCUUGGACGUGUCGCGGCCGUGAACUGGUGGGACUCCAACCCAAACAGAUUUGUAACAGUGGCCCGGGUGGCCAGGACUGCCAGAGCGGCAUUUGUGGCCGACAAAGGGACCUCUAUGGAGACAAAGGGGGCUCUUAGGACUCAUUCUGCUUUGGCUGCUCUAUUCCCAGCAAGAGCCAGCGGACUUCUUUUGUCGGCAUCAGGAAACAAAAGUGAUUCAUGUCAUCACGGGCCUCGCCGGGGUCUUUGUGGUCAAUCAAUGCACGAGCCUUUGCAGCUAGCAACCCUUACAGAUACAACUUACUGCGGGCCUACUAAGGGCCAGGGAUUAUUCUAGAUACCAGGCCCAUGCUGCCUAAUUUAAUCCUCCCAAACAAUGUCUGAUGUAGGGAACAUCCCCACUAUGGUCAGGUGAAAAACGGAGACGUGAAGAGGGGAAGGUCCCCCCGCUCGUUUCCCGCAGCAGGGCAAGCAUGCGUAGUCAGGCUUGGCCCACUCCCAGCUGACUGCUGUCCCCAACUGAUAACUGCUAUGAAUGUCUGACAGACCAAAGGGAGUCCCCUCCUCUAACCUGUCACCUCCAGGAAUGUUGAUCCGGAAGGCCCAGAAUGUCCCUGACAUUCGACAAAUACUUAACAGCAAAUGGAGCAAAGCCCAAAAGACAUGAGGGGAUUGAAAGUCAGAGUUUCUUCUAAAAUCCUCAGAAGAUGUUCCAGCUCAAUGCAAGGAUGUUUACAGAGGUUUUUGUUAAAAAAAAAAAAAAAAAAAAAAAAAAAAAUUAGGAUAAAAAGAAAUGGAGGUCAAAGUCCCUGUUGAUAAUUGAGCCAUCAGUGCCUUAUUUCUCAAAUA